RNAcentral lists this ribosomal RNA (438 nucleotides) under uncultured bacterium. RNAcentral's name for it is "bacterial SSU rRNA". It matches the Rfam family "Bacterial small subunit ribosomal RNA", at positions 30 to 514 of the family's 1533-position model. The record is from RNAcentral.
UGAACGCUGGCGGCAUGCCUUACACAUGCAAGUCGAACGCAGUAGCAAUACUGAGUGGCAGACGGGUGAGUAACAUGUGGGAAUCUGCCUUGUGGUUCAGGACAACAUUGGGAAACCGAUGCUAAUACUGGAUAAGCCCUUACGGGGAAAGUUUUAAUGCCAUAAGAUGAGCCCGCACUUGAUUAGUUAGUUGGUGAGGUAAUGGCUCACCAAGACAAUGAUCAAUAGCUGAUCUGAGAGGAUGAUCAGCCACACUGGGACUGAGACACGGCCCAGACUCCGUACGGGAGGCAGCAGUGGGGAAUCUUGCACAAUGGAGGAAACUCUGAUGCAGCGAUGCCGCGUGAGUGAAGAAGGCCUUUGGGUUGUAAAGCUCUUUGUAGGGGAAGAUAAUGACUGUACCCUAAGAAUAAGGUCCGGCUAACUUCGUGCCAGCAG